Molecule: ribosomal RNA, 489 nt
Filed under: uncultured bacterium
Lineage: Bacteria
Description: bacterial SSU rRNA
Rfam family: Bacterial small subunit ribosomal RNA
Source: RNAcentral
GACGAACGCUGGCGGCGUGCCUAACACAUGCAAGUCGAGCGAGUGAAUCUCCUUCGGGAGUGAAACUAGCGGCGGACGGGUGAGUAACACGUGGGCAACCUGCCUCAUAGAGGGGAAUAGCCUUUCGAAAGGAAGAUUAAUACCGCAUAAGAUUGUAGCUUCGCAUGAAGUAGCAAUUAAAGGAGUAAUCCGCUAUGAGAUGGGCCCGCGGCGCAUUAGCUAGUUGGUGAGGUAACGGCUCACCAAGGCGACGAUGCGUAGCCGACCUGAGAGGGUGAUCGGCCACAUUGGGACUGAGACACGGCCCAGACUCCUACGGGAGGCAGCAGUGGGGAAUAUUGCACAAUGGGGGAAACCCUGAUGCAGCAACGCCGCGUGAGUGAUGACGGCCUCGGUUGUAAGGCGUCUGUCUUCUAGGACGGAGUAAUAGACGGUACCGUCGAGGAGGAAGCCGACGGCGUAACUACGUAGCCAGCAGCCGCGGUAAGU